RNAcentral lists this ribosomal RNA (442 nucleotides) under uncultured bacterium. RNAcentral describes it as "partial 16S ribosomal RNA". It matches the Rfam family "Bacterial small subunit ribosomal RNA", at positions 338 to 795 of the family's 1533-position model. The record is from RNAcentral.
CCUACGGGUGGCAGCAGUGGGGAAUAUUGGGCAAUGGGCGCAAGCCUGACCCAGCAACGCCGCGUGAAGGAAGAAGGCUUUCGGGUUGUAAACUUCUUUUCUCAGGGACGAAGAAAGUGACGGUACCUGAGGAAUAAGCCACGGCUAACUACGUGCCAGCAGCCGCGGUAAUACGUAGGUGGCAAGCGUUAUCCGGAUUUAUUGGGUGUAAAGGGCGUGUAGGCGGGGCGCAAGUCCGAUGUGAAAACUCAGGGCUCAAGCCGGGUCCUGCAUUUGAAACUGUGGUUCUUGAGUGCGGGAGAGGCAAUCGGAAGGCCGGGUGUAGCGGUGAAAUGCGUAGAUAUACGGAGGAACACCAGUGGCGAAGGCGGAGUGCUGGACAGUAACUGACGCUGAGGCGCGAAGGCGUGGGGAGCAAACAGGAUUAGAUACCCCUGUAGUC